ACCUACAGAGCCCUGUCUCCAGACCCCACCUACAGUGCCCCAUCGCCAGACCCCACCUACAGUGCCCCAUCUCCAGACCCCACCUACAGUGCCCCAUCUCCAGAUCCCACCUACAAUGCCUCGUCUCUUGCCACUACUUAUGACCCGCCCACACCGCUGGCCCCUCCUAAAUACGACUUCAACUGGAAAGUCAAGGAAGACUACUCUGGCAACUACUUCGGCCACCAGGAGCUCCGAGACGGCUACGACACUCAGGGCUCCUACUACGUGCUGCUUCCCGACGGUCGUUUACAGAAGGUGAACUACACUGUCAACGGCGAGGCCGGUUACGUGGCCGAGGUGACCUAUGAGGGUGCAGCCCAGUACCCUGCACCCCUGCCCUCCUACAGCCUCCCUGCCCAAACCUACCAGCCAGCCCCGACUUAUGCCUAAACUCUUGAUACUGAACGCAAAAACGUAUGUGAAUUUGAUACUUCUGACUAGCUGUUCAUUUUUAAUGAUAUCAGUAAAUGAUAAAAAAAACA
This is a long non-coding RNA of Homarus americanus (American lobster), 524 nucleotides long. RefSeq lists it as uncharacterized. The transcript is spliced from 2 exons. The record is from RefSeq and is a predicted model, not a curated record. NCBI's taxonomy places the organism in Eukaryota, Metazoa, Arthropoda, Malacostraca, Decapoda, Nephropidae.